Molecule: ribosomal RNA, 397 nt
Filed under: uncultured bacterium
Lineage: Bacteria
Description: partial 16S ribosomal RNA
Rfam family: Bacterial small subunit ribosomal RNA
Source: RNAcentral
AUACGUAGGUGCCAAGCGUUAUCCGGAUUUACUGGGCGUAAAGGGCGUGUAGGCGGUCUUGCAAGUCAGAAGUGAAAUUCCUGAGCUCAACUCGGGCGCUGCUUCUGAAACUGCAGGACUUGAGUGCUGGAGGGGAUAGCGGAAUUCCUAGUGGAGCGGUAAAAUGCGCAGAUAUUAGGAAGAACACCGGUGGCGAAGGAGGCUAUCUGGACAGUAACUGACGCGGAUGCGCGAAAGCGUGGGGAGCAAACAGGAUUAGAUGCCCUGGUAGUCCACGCCGUAAACGAUGAAUACUAGGUGUAGGGGGUAUCGACUCCCUCUGUGCCGCAGUUAACACAAUAAGUAUUCCGCCUGGGGAGUACGGCCGCAAGGUUGAAACUCAAAUGAAUUGACGGGG